This is a long non-coding RNA of Gallus gallus (chicken), 2256 nucleotides long. Lineage: Eukaryota; Metazoa; Chordata; Aves; Galliformes; Phasianidae. The record is from Ensembl.
AGCUGUAGCCCUAGAGAUGCCAACUGCUGCCUGUGUUUGUGUAAGGCUGAUCAAAGUGCACUUUGUCUUUGGAACAGCACUGAUUGAACCAGCACAAGCUGCAGGUUUCCACCUCUGGUCUGCAGCACCCCAGGGAAAAUACAUACUCCUUGUAAGCUGUCAAGACAAGGUAACUCACUGAAGGAAGUCAUAAUCAGGAGGCUUAAAUUAGCUGUACAGAGGGCUGUGGCUUCACUGGAAAAUACAUAGAUGCUGCAUACUGAUAGGGAUUGAAAGCAGAGAGAGAAGUCCUGGAUGCUGUGGUUGGCAGAGAAGCAGCAUUUCUUCCUUCCCCUCCCAUGACCUGGCAAAAUGCUGUUUUUAUCUUUUAAUUUAUGCACAUCUCCCAUUUUUCUCCAUUUUAACCAGAGCAGCACAGAGGAAUUACUUUUUGCAUCUUUUCUGCCUUCUUCCCAUUUGCCCCUUUCCUUUGCUCCAAAGGGCUUUCUUGCAUGAAAGAUGGCAGCCACCUGCUUCUAUUGUGAGGCUGCAAAUGCAAACAGCCUCUCACUGAGCACAACCGCCGUUGGGCAGGAGAGGGCCCAGCUGGGACUGGGAUCUACAAGUGGACUAUUAGCAGCCAAGUAGUGGACUGAAGCUGGUUAUUUUUAUUGCUGCCCCGAGGAGAUAGGUCAGACAAGGCAAAACAUUAGUAUAACCAGCAAAGUGUAAGCAUUUGAAGGCUUCUGCAGGCUCUGAGAUGCCCGCAUGCUGCAUUUUUGCACAGCGCUGGCUGGCAGCAAGAUGUUUUUUUCCAUGAUAGCAUUUGUAACAAGAAAUCUACUGAAGAAAAAGCAUGAAGUGCACUUGACUGAUUUCUCACAUCUCAGUUUUAAAAGCCAGUUCUGCGUUUUUCUUUGCCUGAUAAGCUACGAUUUGUCAGUAUCGACCUCACGCAUGACGUGGGAUUGUGGCACGUGCUGAGCCCACACCUCCAGAACUGCCUAGAGAUGCUCUGUACUACCCAGCUGUCCAUCCUCUGCCGGAGAAACAGGAAGGAAGGUGGCCAUGCUUCUCUUGUGCUGCUUUGGGCAUCAGCAGCACCAACCAGCAUUGCCGCUUGGCAGAGCUGGGCUGCCCUGUGGGGUGAGAACAUAUGACAGAGGCAGAUGUUGUGAUACAGAAAUAGCCUUAAGCAGUGGAUAUGUCGGCGCAAAACCACCAUGUCCGCUGCAGCCACUGCCCUCAGCCAGACACAGGCUGUGCUUUAUUGUAGGAAGUGGGACAGUAGAGACGGAACUGAACCCGCCUGCCUGAAUUCUCCACAUGCUGUUACGGCAGCUCUUCAGGCCGCAGCGACAUCCCGCGUGGUGCCAACGUGGCAGCUGAGCUCCCAGAAUAGAUGCACAUAAUUUUUUAAAAAUCUGUUGUGAUGUCAGAAAGCUUCCCUUUUUAGCUCUUGCCUCAUCUAUCAGCUACAGCUCGCUUACGGGUGCUGAGCCAUGAAUGUAGGCUAGCAGCUAACGUAGGCUCAGAUUUACAGAAUCGUUUGGAGAAGAUCAGUAAGUUGGGAGUCAGAAUCUCCAAGGUGGCUUUAAUGGCCGUGAUCUCACGUCAGGAUGGAAACAGGAAAGUGUGAUGGAAAUACAAAAUACGAAUUGUAAUGCAGGAAUGCCAUUCCGACGUGCUUGCUAUCCGUCAUCAGCAAACAGUUAAGACAUAGAGUAGAUAAAUGUUUUGCUUGGCCUAUAAAAGUCAAAGGCCAAGAAGAGGGACAGACAGAAGGAUUUCUACGUUACUCCCAGAGCUCAGCACUUCUCUCCCUGCAGAAAUAAGCACUCCUCAAAGUGCUUAUUUCUCUCUAAGACUGAUAAACACAGCUUUGGGCGAAGGCUUCACGUGGAGACACCUGAACCAACAAUACACAUCCAAAGUGGAACAAGAGAUUGGAUUCUGCCCUCUGGGACCUUCAGAGGCUGUGCCAAUUGUUGACCAUUCGUUGGCCAUUCAUCUUACCAGACAGAGCCCACCUCGCUUCCAAACACCUAUUCAACAUCUUUUAUGCCACUGCCAAUGAAUCAAAGACAUCAUAAAGUCCAAAUGGCAAUGUGAACGUGGAUAAAAGGCUGCUACAGACAUUGUGUACUUAAACCAGAGCUAUUUGCUGUUCUUUCUUUCUGCGUAAAUACGGCAAGGCAAGAGCAUGCGGUGUAUGCAUGACAUAAAUAUAGGAGGAAAAAACAAAAGUUAAGUAGCAAAUCCUGACACACCUUAUGG